CUGUGCUAGAUGGGGAGGUAGCGGUGCCCUGUAACCCGCAACCCGCUAUAGCGGGAUUGAAUUCCUGCCCGAGGUUUGCAGCAUGUAAGGUUCAGGACCCCGGUAAGUGAUGAAGAGGAUUGGGUCCUGCGCAACGGAGACCCGUGAACCCUGUCAGAUCCGGAAGGAAGCAGCAGUAAGCGGAAAUUUUCGUGUGCCGCAGGGAAGCCUGAUUGGAGU
RNAcentral lists this signal recognition particle RNA (219 nucleotides) under Clostridiales bacterium. RNAcentral's name for it is "signal recognition particle sRNA large type". It matches the Rfam family "Bacterial large signal recognition particle RNA", at positions 1 to 213 of the family's 256-position model. Rfam says of the family: The signal recognition particle (SRP) is a universally conserved ribonucleoprotein involved in the co-translational targeting of proteins to membranes. Lineage: Bacteria; Bacillati; Bacillota; Clostridia; Eubacteriales. The record is from RNAcentral.